CUUCCCCCGGCGCUGCCCCAGCCGCCGGAUCCACCGCCUCUAUUCACCGGAGCCCCGCGAGGGGUGCGGGAGUGGCGUCCCGGCCCGGCGCUGCCCCCCGGCCGGGCGGCACAAAGCAGCGGCUGUCACACGCACGCACACACACGAGCGGCAACUCGGGAGGAUGAGGAGGAGCCGCCCCCGAGCCCCCCUCCCGCCCCCCGCAACUGGACGUGGCACAACGAACACUCCUCCCGCUCCGGGCCCCCCGUGCCGCCCCCGGCAGGUACCGGCCCCUCCUGCGCGGGGCGGCCGCGGAGCCUCGGCCGCACAGCGCUGUUGAGUUGAGGAUGUCCAAGGCAAGGUGGCAUGGACCCUUCGAAGUUUCUGGGCUAAGCUAGACCUCUAGAAGGAACCAUAAGCUGCUGAAUGAGCGAUAGCUCUCAAAGAUUUCCAGGUGCCUAACACUGCACCGCCUUGUGCUUUGGUGUCAGUGACUCUGAAAUUGUUUACGGAAAAGCUCAUGGCUCCUACUGAUUUCAUCUGCUCUUGCAAUUUCACUAUGAGUCAUCCAAUAUGGUGUGUACUUUGUUUUACUUACAGACCAAACUGCCUGAAUUGCAUCUUUAGUGAAGUUGUCUCAGCUCCCUUCAGGCAAAAAAAGCACAAGCAAAUAAAAGUUUCUUGCUCUCA
Molecule: non-coding RNA, 672 nt
Organism: Taeniopygia guttata (zebra finch)
Lineage: Eukaryota; Metazoa; Chordata; Aves; Passeriformes; Estrildidae
Source: RefSeq, a predicted model, not a curated record